CAGUGAUCAAAAAAUAAAUAAAAAUAAAUAAAUAUAUAAACAUUACUUAGGUGAUUAUGUGGAAUGCUGCCAUGCUUUACUUCAGCGUGCAGAUUUUUACUUGCUCUCUCGCACUGUCUCCCUCUCUCAUGCUGUUUCUCCAUCUCUCAAUGUCUCUUGCUGUCUCUCGCUCACUUUCCCUCUCUUGCAUUGUCUCGCCCUCUCUCACGCUGUCUCUCCCUCUUCUGCAUUGUCUCUCCCUCUUGUGUUGUCUCUCCCUCUCUUGUGUUGUCUCUCCCUCUCUUGCACUUUCUCUCCCUCUCUUGUGUUGUCUCUCCCUCUCUGGUGUUGUCUCUCGCUCUCUUGCAUUGUCUCUUGCUCUCUCUUGCUGUCUUUCACUUACUCGCACUUACUCACGCUAUUUCUCUCUCUCUCUCACUCACUCUCGCUAUUUCUCGCUCUCUCUCACUCUCACUGUCUCUUGCUCACUCGCGCUAUUUCUCGCUCUCUCUCACUCACACUUGCUGUCUCUCCCUCUCUUGCUCACUCAUGCUUUUUCUCGCUCUUUCUCCCUCUCUCGUGCUGUCUCUCCCUCUCUUGCGGUGUCUCUACCUCUCUCGCACUGUUUCCCUCUCUCCCACUGUCUCCCUCUCUCGUGCUGUUUCUCCAUCUCUCGCAAUGUCUCUUGCUGUCUCUCGCUCACUUUCCCUCUCUUGCAUUGUCUCGCCCUCUCUCACGCUGUCUCUCCCUCUCUUGCAUUGUCUCUCCCUCUCUUGUGUUGUCUCUCGCUCUCUUGCAUUGUCUCGCCCUCUCUCACGUUGUCUCUCGCUCUCUUGUGUUGUCUCUCGCUCUCUUGCGCUGUCUCUUGCUCUCUCUUGCUGUCUUUCACUUACUCGCAUUGUAUCUUGCUUACUCGCCCUAUUUCUCGCUCUCUCUCACUCGCUCUCGCUGUCUCUCCCUCUCUUGCUCACUCACGCUAUUUCUCGCUCUUUCUCACUCGCUCUCGCUGUCUCUCCCUCUCUUGCUCACGCACACUAUUUCUCGCUCUUUCUCACUCGCUCUUGCUGUCUCUCCCUCUCUCUUGCACUGUCUCUCCCUCUCUUUUGCAUUGUCUCUCACUCGCGAUGUCUCUUACUCACUUGCACAUUUCCCUCUCUUUCUUGCACUCUACCCUGAAAUAUUAUAAUACAAUUAAGUAAACCAGAAGUAAACCAGACGUAAACCACUAUACCAUAUUAUUACUGUCUCCCUCCCAAAAAU
Molecule: long non-coding RNA, 1239 nt
Filed under: Astyanax mexicanus (Mexican tetra)
Lineage: Eukaryota; Metazoa; Chordata; Actinopteri; Characiformes; Acestrorhamphidae
Description: lncRNA (ENSAMXG00005017286.1)
Source: RNAcentral